Coffea eugenioides is the source of this 105-nucleotide small nucleolar RNA. RefSeq annotates it as small nucleolar RNA Z107/R87. The transcript has a single exon. The record is from RefSeq and is a predicted model, not a curated record. Lineage: Eukaryota; Viridiplantae; Streptophyta; Magnoliopsida; Gentianales; Rubiaceae.
GAUUGCAAUGAUGAUUAGUAACGUUCAAGCUCAACAGACCGGAUUGCACAAGGCUUCUGUACUUUAAGGGCUUAUGCAUGUCGAUUUUCUCUUUACCAAGCGAUC